Molecule: long non-coding RNA, 2318 nt
Organism: Meriones unguiculatus (Mongolian gerbil)
Lineage: Eukaryota; Metazoa; Chordata; Mammalia; Rodentia; Muridae
Exons: 3
Source: RefSeq, a predicted model, not a curated record
UGCUUGUGUCUAAAAGAAUGAUUGCAUAUAAGAAACAUUCACACAUCAAAGAAGGAAAGGCUGACAAAUGAACACUAUGGAUUCCAGAACCAGGGACAACUGAUUCCAAGGUUUUAAAUAUCACAGACUUCUAUACUAGAAGAGACAUGCAUGAUAAAUAUGUUGAACAGUAGUCUGGAAAAUACCACAGCCAAACUUGGAUCUUUAAUGCUCUCCAAAGUAAAUGCUCUUGAACCAAGUCAUACUUACUGUACAUUUUUCUCUUGGCUACUGUUUUAAGUUACUUUCAGACACAAAAAGGAAAAGCAUUGAGGAGUCAAUUGUCUACAGGAUUUAUGUCAACAAGCAGUGAAAGCUCAUUAAAUACUUAUUAAUCCAUACAAAAUCAGUCUUGGCUGACAGAUUUUUGUUGGCUGUCUGUAUUGACUGGGUCCAUAGUAUAAUUACCACACAGUUGAAACAUGCAAGGGUAUCGGUCCCUUAAAAAAAUAAUGCCAGCAUGGCUGCUUGUAUGUGUUGCUUUUAUUUCCACUAUGUAAGUUCUCACCAAAUUUCACAAAUAGGACGCUAACAGAUAUUGAGCCUUGAAACUACACACGUGGAAACUAGAGCAAUUCUCUCUCUCCUGGUGAAACCCUGGACCAAUCUCCAGUUGUAACUUGUGAAGAGAAUGAAAGGAGAAAGGAGACCUCUACCCCCAGACCAUAACUGCUAAAUUGAGUGAAUAAAAGCAGACAGAAGGAAACGGCCUGGCCUGCUUUCUGGAGGCUACACUGAGAGUCCAGUCAGGGUGAUAGUUUCAAUGGGAAAGCUGGUUUAUGAUGGAGACUCAGUGAUUUUUUUCUGGAUUUUCUCCUGCCUAAGUCAUUUGAGUUCAGAAAACCCUGCAAAAGAGGAGGCAGGAAGAAUGUAAGAGCCAGAGAGACCAAGAAAAUAAAGCUCUCUAAAUCUACAUGACAGAAGCUCACGUGGACUCACAGAGAUGGAAGCAGCAAGCACAGGGCUGCACAAGGUUUUCUCUGGACAUAUUAUGGCUUCCAGGUUAUAUUUUUAUGAGAUACCUGAGCGAUGAAUGAGUGAAUGGGUCUCUGAUUCUUAUGCCUUCUCUUGGGUUCUUUUAUUUCUACUGGUUUGUCUUGUGCAAAUUCAGUGUGAUAGCUUUUGUUUCAUCAGAUAUUUCAUUUCGUUAUUUUAUUAUUAUCUCCAAGAAGCCUGUUCUUUUCUAAUUAAAAAAAAAAAAGCAAAAAAAAAAAAACAACAUGCUACAUAAAACUAUAAAUUGCAUGCUUUAAGAGCAGGGCCAACAGUGGAGGUGGAUUAAUUCCACUGAAGAGCAAGAAGAAAGAGAAGAGAGAAGAAUAGAGGAGGCUCACAAAUGAAGAGAAAGCGCGAGCUUUGAAGGGUGAAGACUGAGGCUCAGAAGAAAAGGUAUGGUAAAUGAAGGUUCAGAGAAGACGGGAGGAUAAGGGUACUGAUUGAGUCUAUGUACACAUCAUGUGAUAGGCAGUGUUCUAGAGCAUUAGAGCAGUGUUCUGGUUGAGUGUCUGUGCCCCUCGAGAAGCCUAGUGGAGGAGAAAAACAAAUCUUGAAUUCUAUAACAUACUCAGGAGGAAAGAGUCUCUGAAGGAAGCUGAGAUGAACCUGUCACAUGGGCGGUAAAUAAAUUCUCACGUAGAAAUAACAUUUUGAGAGGGGACUUGGAGGGAGUAGCGGUAUGGCUCCUGGAAAAGCAAUGUGCUAGACAGAACAGCAAAUGAGAAGGUUUCAAGGUGAGUAUGGGCCUGAAGGAGCCAAGAGGCCAUUGUGGGGACAACAGUGAGUUGAGGUACUUUGUGGAAGACAUCUGAAUGUGAGGUGGAGCUGUGAGGGGGACGGGAAGGCCUCGAUGUUCUGAGCAUAGAUGUACAGCAGACAAUGUUUGCAUGGGACCUUGCCAACGAUUAUUUUAGGAACGUAUAUAUUUAUCCCACUUUAGGUUUUACUACCAAGUGUUCCCACAAAAUGCAGCUUAAUUCCUCAUUUUCUUGGUGAAGGAACUGAACUUGAAGAAGUUAGAAUCAUUUCGUUAGUGAGGACUGGAAAUAAACCAUCGUGGGCAAGAGCCGUUCUGAUAAGGCCCCACGCGGGACGCAUAGCUGCAUUCAAAUGAGAGGGGACUGGUAGUUAGGGUGGUUGAAAUAAUAAAUGCCUGCUCUCUGAUCACCUCCCCCUGAGGGGGGAGCAGCCUUACCAGGCCACAGAAGAUGACAAUGCAGCCACUCCUGAGGAGAUCUGAGAUUCUAAGAUCAGAAGGAAGGAGAGGAGGACCUCCCCUUACA